GAUGAACGCUGGCGGCGUGCCUAAUACAUGCAAGUCGAGCGAACAGACGAGGAGCUUGCUCCUCUGACGUUAGCGGCGGACGGGUGAGUAACACGUGGAUAACCUACCUAUAAGACUGGGAUAACUUCGGGAAACCGGAGCUAAUACCGGAUAACAUGUUGAACCACAUGGUUCAACAGUGAAAGACGGUCUUGCUGUCACUUAUAGAUGGAUCCGCGCCGCAUUAGCUAGUUGGUAAGGUAACGGCUUACCAAGGCAACGAUGCGUAGCCGACCUGAGAGGGUGAUCGGCCACACUGGAACUGAGACACGGUCCAGACUCCUACGGGAGGCAGCAGUAGGGAAUCUUCCGCAAUGGGCGAAAGCCUGACGGAGCAACGCCGCGUGAGUGAAGAAGGUCUUCGGAUCGUAAAACUCUGUUAUUAGGGAAGAACAAAUGUGUAAGUAACUAUGCACGUCUUGACGGUACCUAAUCAGAAAGCCACGGCUAACUACGUGC
RNAcentral lists this ribosomal RNA (498 nucleotides) under uncultured bacterium. RNAcentral describes it as "partial 16S ribosomal RNA". It matches the Rfam family "Bacterial small subunit ribosomal RNA", at positions 28 to 508 of the family's 1533-position model. The record is from RNAcentral.